CCCUUAGAUGUUCUGGGCUGCACGCGCGCUACACUGAAGCUAUCAACACGUUUUCCCUCCCUGAGAAGGGCGGGUAACCUUUUGAAUCAGCUUCGUGGUAGGGCUCGGGGCUUGCAAUUGUUCCCCGUGAACCAGGAAUUCCUAGUAGACGCGAGUCAUAAGCUCGCAUCGAUUAAGUCCCUGCCCUUUGUACACACCGCCCGUCGCUACUACCGAUUGAACGUUUUAGUGAGGCAUUUGGACCGACGCAUCUCAGUUUAACCGCUGGUUUGUGUUGGAAAGACUUCCAAACUUGAGCGUUUAGAGGAAGUAAAAGUCGUAACA
This 324-nucleotide ribosomal RNA is filed under the name uncultured eukaryote. RNAcentral describes it as "partial 18S ribosomal RNA". It matches the Rfam family "Eukaryotic small subunit ribosomal RNA", at positions 1470 to 1796 of the family's 1831-position model. The record is from RNAcentral.